Molecule: small nucleolar RNA, 130 nt
Organism: Ornithorhynchus anatinus (platypus)
Lineage: Eukaryota; Metazoa; Chordata; Mammalia; Monotremata; Ornithorhynchidae
Product: small nucleolar RNA SNORA31
Exons: 1
Source: RefSeq, a predicted model, not a curated record
CCGCAUCUACUGAUAGACCUUGAACAGUCCUCCGGUGUUCUUCCGGUUUGCACGAAGAUGCGAAAGAAAGUCUCCUCCCGUUUCCUGCCUGCCUCGCGUGGCAGCCCAGAUUGAAUGGGGGAGUACACGU